CUAUACAUGCAAGUCGAGCGAAUGGAUUAAGAGCUUGCUCUUAUGAAGUUAGCGGCGGACGGGUGAGUAACACGUGGGUAACCUGCCCAUAAGACUGGGAUAACUCCGGGAAACCGGGGCUAAUACCGGAUAACAUUUUGAACCGCAUGGUUCGAAAUUGAAAGGCGGCUUCGGCUGUCACUUAUGGAUGGACCCGCGUCGCAUUAGCUAGUUGGUGAGGUAACGGCUCACCAAGGCAACGAUGCGUAGCCGACCUGAGAGGGUGAUCGGCCACACUGGGACUGAGACACGGCCCAGACUCCUACGGGAGGCAGCAGUAGGGAAUCUUCCGCAAUGGACGAAAGUCUGACGGAGCAACGCCGCGUGAGUGAUGAAGGCUUUCGGGUCGUAAAACUCUGUUGUUAGGGAAGAACAAGUGCUAGUUGAAUAAGCUGGCACCUUGACGGUACCUAACCAGAAAGCCACGGCUAACUACGUGCCAGCAGCCGCGGUAAUACGUAGGUGGCAAGCGUUAUCCGGAAUUAUUGGGCGUAAAGCGCGCGCAGGUGGUUUCUUAAGUCUGAUGUGAAAGCCCACGGCUCAACCGUGGAGGGUCAUUGGAAACUGGGAGACUUGAGUGCAGAAGAGGAAAGUGGAAUUCCAUGUGUAGCGGUGAAAUGCGUAGAGAUAUGGAGGAACACCAGUGGCGAAGGCGACUUUCUGGUCUGUAACUGACACUGAGGCGCGAAAGCGUGGGGAGCAAACAGGAUUAG
This 752-nucleotide ribosomal RNA is filed under the name Bacillus anthracis (anthrax bacterium). Its description in RNAcentral is "bacterial SSU rRNA". It matches the Rfam family "Bacterial small subunit ribosomal RNA", at positions 49 to 781 of the family's 1533-position model. Lineage: Bacteria; Bacillati; Bacillota; Bacilli; Caryophanales; Bacillaceae. The record is from RNAcentral.